Molecule: ribosomal RNA, 429 nt
Filed under: Gemmatimonadota bacterium
Lineage: Bacteria; Pseudomonadati; Gemmatimonadota
Description: Gemmatimonadetes bacterium partial 16S ribosomal RNA
Rfam family: Bacterial small subunit ribosomal RNA
Source: RNAcentral
UAGGGAAUCUUCGGCAAUGGACGAAAGUCUGACCGAGCAACGCCGCGUGAGUGAAGAAGGUUUUCGGAUCGUAAAACUCUGUUGUUAGAGAAGAACAAGGACGUUAGUAACUGAACGUCCCCUGACGGUAUCUAACCAGAAAGCCACGGCUAACUACGUGCCAGCAGCCGCGGUAAUACGUAGGUGGCAAGCGUUGUCCGGAUUUAUUGGGCGUAAAGCGAGCGCAGGCGGUUUCUUAAGUCUGAUGUGAAAGCCCCCGGCUCAACCGGGGAGGGUCAUUGGAAACUGGGAGCCUUGAGUGCAGAAGAGGAGAGUGGAAUUCCAUGUGUAUCGGUGAAAUGCGUAGAUAUAUGGAGGAACACCAGUGGCGAAGGCGGCUCUCUGGUCUGUAACUGACGCUGAGGCUCGAAAGCGUGGGGAGCAAACAGG